CUUAGCGAGGAGUCCCCAGUGCUUAGGGCGGUUUAGGCUGGCGGGGUGUUUUGUGGGAACCGGUUCUCCGCUAGGGCGGGGAAGUCAGUUGUGAAUUCUUUUCAAAUCCAGUCCAGCUUCAAAAGGGAGAGAAACCCUUGGUAGAGCGAAAGGGCGAAUGCUGGCUUGAGGAUACUUUUCAGUAGGAUGGAUCCGUGUGAAAGCAAGGCCUAUCGAUCCUUUUGUGUCGCCCUUUGGGGCGACGAUGGGAGAGCUCUAUUUUUACUGCUUCCCGCAAGAGGUGUCAGAAAAGUUACCACUGGGAUAACUGGCCUGUGGCAGCCAAGCGUUCUUAGCGACGUUGCUUUUUGAUCCUUCGAUGUCGGCUCUUCCUAUCAUUGCGAAGCAGAAUUCGCCAAGCGUUGAGACCGAUCGCAGAAGGCCACUUUCAGACCAUUCGCUCAACUGGAAAGUGCCCUUCUUGGCUAG
RNAcentral lists this non-coding RNA (468 nucleotides) under Lottia gigantea (owl limpet). Its description in RNAcentral is "Archaeal large subunit ribosomal RNA". It matches the Rfam family "Eukaryotic large subunit ribosomal RNA", at positions 2577 to 2939 of the family's 3401-position model. Lineage: Eukaryota; Metazoa; Mollusca; Gastropoda; Lottiidae. The record is from Rfam by way of RNAcentral.